GUUCACUUUGGCAGAACAUAUACUAAAAUUGGAAUGAUACAGAGAAGAUUAGUAUUAUCUGUGGCCCAUACACAAGGAUGACACACAAAUUCAUGAAACGUUCCAUAAUUUG
Pteropus vampyrus (large flying fox) is the source of this 112-nucleotide small nuclear RNA. The record is from Ensembl. NCBI's taxonomy places the organism in Eukaryota, Metazoa, Chordata, Mammalia, Chiroptera, Pteropodidae.